UACAGAGGUUGCAAGCGUUGUUCGGAUUUACUGGGCGUAAAGGGCGCGUAGGCGGUGCGACAAGUCACUUGUGAAAUCUCCGGGCUCAACUCGGAACGGCCAAGUGAUACUGUCGUGCUAGAGUGCGGAAGGGCACUGAAUCUCGUGUAGCGGUGAAAUGCGUAGAUAUCGAGAGGAACACCUGCGGCGAAGGCGGGUUGCUGGGCCGACACUGACGCUGAGGCGCGAAAGCCAGGGGAGCGAACGGGAUUAGAAA
RNAcentral lists this ribosomal RNA (256 nucleotides) under uncultured bacterium. RNAcentral's name for it is "partial 16S ribosomal RNA". It matches the Rfam family "Bacterial small subunit ribosomal RNA", at positions 524 to 784 of the family's 1533-position model. The record is from RNAcentral.